CCUACGGGGUGCAGCAGUGAGGAAUAUUGGUCAAUGGACGAGAGUCUGAACCAGCCAAGUAGCGUGAAGGAUGACCGCCCUAUGGGUUGUAAACUUCUUUUAUAUGGGAAUAAAAUGUUCCACGUGUGGGAUUUUGUAUGUACCAUAUGAAUAAGGAUCGGCUAACUCCGUGCCAGCAGCCGCGGUAAUACGGAGGAUCCGAGCGUUAUCCGGAUUUAUUGGGUUUAAAGGGAGCGUAGGUGGAUUGUUAAGUCAGUUGUGAAAGUUUGCGGCUCAACCGUAAAAUUGCAGUUGAAACUGGCAGUCUUGAGUACAGUAGAGGUGGGCGGAAUUCGUGGUGUAGCGGUGAAAUGCUUAGAUAUCACGAAGAACUCCGAUUGCGAAGGCAGUUCACUGGACUGCAACUGACACUGAGGCUCGAAAGUGUGGGUAUCAAACAGGAUUAGAUACCCCAGUAGUC
RNAcentral lists this ribosomal RNA (460 nucleotides) under uncultured bacterium. RNAcentral describes it as "partial 16S ribosomal RNA". It matches the Rfam family "Bacterial small subunit ribosomal RNA", at positions 338 to 795 of the family's 1533-position model. The record is from RNAcentral.